RNAcentral lists this ribosomal RNA (254 nucleotides) under uncultured bacterium. RNAcentral's name for it is "partial 16S ribosomal RNA". It matches the Rfam family "Bacterial small subunit ribosomal RNA", at positions 524 to 776 of the family's 1533-position model. The record is from RNAcentral.
UACAGAGGUCCCAAGCGUUGUUCGGAUUCACUGGGCGUAAAGGGUGCGUAGGCGGUCAGCACAAGUCAGUUGUGAAAUCUCCGAGCUUAACUCGGAAAGGUCAACUGAUACUGUGCGACUAGAGUGCAGAAGGGGCAACUGGAAUUCUUGGUGUAGCGGUGAAAUGCGUAGAUAUCAAGAGGAACACCUGCGGCGAAGGCGGGUUGCUGGGCUGACACUGACGCUGAAGCGCGAAAGCCAGGGGAGCGAACGGG